GAUGAACGCUAGCUACAGGCUUAACACAUGCAAGUCGAGGGGAAACGGCAUCGAAAGCUUGCUUUUGAUGGGCGUCGACCGGCGCACGGGUGAGUAACGCGUAUCCAACCUGCCCAUCACUUGGGAAUAACCUUGCGAAAGUAAGACUAAUGCCCAAUGACAUCCCACGAAGGCAUCCGAAUGGGAUUAAAGAUUUAUCGGUGAUGGAUGGUGAUGCGUCUGAUUAGCUUGUUGGCGGGGUGACGGCCCACCAAGGCAACGAUCAGUAGGGGUUCUGAGAGGAAGGUCCCCCACAGUGGAACUGAGACACGGUCCAAACUCCUACGGGAGGCAGCAGUGAGGAAUAUUGGUCAAUGGGCGAGAGCCUGAACCAGCCAAGUAGCGUGCAGGAUGACGGCCCUAUGGGUUGUAAACUGCUUUUAGAAGGGAAUAAAGUGGGUCACGUGUGACUUUUUGCAUGUACCUUAUGAAUAAGGACCGGCUAAUUCCGUG
RNAcentral lists this ribosomal RNA (492 nucleotides) under uncultured bacterium. RNAcentral's name for it is "partial 16S ribosomal RNA". It matches the Rfam family "Bacterial small subunit ribosomal RNA", at positions 28 to 507 of the family's 1533-position model. The record is from RNAcentral.